UACGGAGGAUGCAAGCGUUAUCCGGAAUGAUUGGGCGUAAAGCGUCCGCAGGUGGCUGUGUAAGUCUGCUGUCAAAGAGCAAAGCUCAACUUUGUAAAGGCAGUGGAAACUACACGGCUAGAGUGCGUUCGGGGCAGAGGGAAUUCCUGGUGUAGCGGUGAAAUGCGUAGAUAUCGGGAGGACCACCUGUGGUGUAGACGGCUUACGGGACCGCCACUGACGCUGAGGCACGAAAGCGUGGGUAGCAAACAGG
This 253-nucleotide ribosomal RNA is filed under the name uncultured bacterium. Its description in RNAcentral is "partial 16S ribosomal RNA". It matches the Rfam family "Bacterial small subunit ribosomal RNA", at positions 524 to 776 of the family's 1533-position model. The record is from RNAcentral.